CCCUAUGGGGUGCAGCAGGCAACUGGGCCUGAAGACGAUGGGAUGCAACAGCCUCAUCUGUUCGGGCACAGGCCAGGCCAGGAUAAAAAAAGAUGGGCUUUCCAGCCAGGAGAUGAAGGCCGCCCUCUCCAGGGCACUGGAGGUUGCCGGGGAGCUGGGGAUCGAAUUGGUCUGGUAUUCACCCACCUGCUACAAGGACCUCAACCCAUUGGAGAUGGGGCUGGGGAUCAAGGGCUGCUCGGCAGCGCAGUACAAUAUGACCAUCGAGCCGGACGGGAGGGUUAUCCCCUGCCAGUCAUGGAUCCAUCAGGGUUGCGGCAACAUUCUUAAAGACAAAUGGGAGACGAUCUGGAACAAUCCGAUCUGCCUGGGCCUGCGAGACAGUACUGAAGUUUUGAGAGAAGAAUGCGUCGGCUGCCAGCAUUGGGAUGAAUGCGGCGGGGGGGC
This 447-nucleotide ribosomal RNA is filed under the name uncultured prokaryote. Its description in RNAcentral is "partial 16S ribosomal RNA". The record is from RNAcentral.